This 497-nucleotide ribosomal RNA is filed under the name uncultured bacterium. Its description in RNAcentral is "partial 16S ribosomal RNA". It matches the Rfam family "Bacterial small subunit ribosomal RNA", at positions 28 to 507 of the family's 1533-position model. The record is from RNAcentral.
GAUGAACGCUGGCGGCGUGCCUAAUACAUGCAAGUCGAGCGAACAGACGAGGAGCUUGCUCCUCUGACGUUAGCGGCGGACGGGUGAGUAACACGUGGAUAACCUACCUAUAAGACUGGGAUAACUUCGGGAAACCGGAGCUAAUACCGGAUAAUAUAUUGAACCGCAUGGUUCAAUAGUGAAAGACGGUUUUGCUGUCACUUAUAGAUGGAUCCGCGUCGGAUUAGCUAGUUGGUAAGGUAACGGCUUACCAAGGCGACGAUGCGUAGCCGACCUGAGAGGAUGAUCGGCCACACUGGAACUGAGACACGGUCCAGACUCCUACGGGAGGCAGCAGUAGGGAAUCUUCCGCAAUGGGCGAAAGCCUGACGGAGCAACGCCGCGUGAGUGAUGAAGGUCUUCGGAUCGUAAAACUCUGUUAUUAGGGAAGAACAAAUGUGUAAGUAACUAUGCACGUCUUGACGGUACCUAAUCAGAAAGCCACGGCUAACUACGUG